GCCUAGCUCAGUUGGUAGAAUAUGAGACUCUUAAUCUCAGGAACAUGGGUUUGAACCCCUGCAUUGCAGCG
Molecule: non-coding RNA, 71 nt
Organism: Podarcis lilfordi (Lilford's wall lizard)
Lineage: Eukaryota; Metazoa; Chordata; Lepidosauria; Squamata; Lacertidae
Source: the annotation of a GenBank genome assembly